UACGUAGGUGGCAAGCGUUGUCCGGAAUUAUUGGGCGUAAAGCGCGCGCAGGCGGUCCUUUAAGUCUGAUAUGAAAUCUUGCGGCUCAACCGCAAGCGGUCAUUGGAAACUGGGGGACUUGAGUACAGAAGAGGAAAGCGGAAUUCCACGUGUAGCGGUGAAAUGCGUAGAGAUGUGGAGGAACACCAGUGGCGAAGGCGGCUUUCUGGUCUGUAACUGACGCUGAGGCGCGAAAGCGUGGGGAGCAAACAGG
RNAcentral lists this ribosomal RNA (253 nucleotides) under uncultured bacterium. RNAcentral describes it as "partial 16S ribosomal RNA". It matches the Rfam family "Bacterial small subunit ribosomal RNA", at positions 524 to 776 of the family's 1533-position model. The record is from RNAcentral.